UACAAGAUGGUCGAAAAUAAACAUUAAACUGUAAAUUUAAAAAUGGGCGCAGCCCUCUUGUAU
RNAcentral lists this transfer RNA (63 nucleotides) under Eisenia balatonica. Its description in RNAcentral is "tRNA-Tyr". The record is from RNAcentral. Lineage: Eukaryota; Metazoa; Annelida; Clitellata; Crassiclitellata; Lumbricidae.